CUCUGAAUAGAUUUCAUUGGAGUGAACACACUGUAAACACACACACACUGAGAGAGAGUUUAUGAGAGCAUCUUGUAAACAUUGCUUUGUAACCGUUUUCUAGAUUAAUACAUUGGAGUGUUAAUCGGUGAAUCUUGUCUUUUACGUGUUCGUAACUUGGUCUAACUUACCUGUUUGGAUUCCGCACUCACGGGUUUGUCGGAAAAUAGGGAAUAGAGGUUACUCGAUCCUCCGGGUAGAUCUACAAUUGGUAUCAGAGCAUUGGCUCGAUUCCUUGUUUAAACCAAGUUGAUUUUCUUGUGUUUUGAUAGAUUUUAAAAAGGGUUUUUCAGCUUGUAUUCUUGUUUAAAAAAAACAUAUUUCUGGAAAAGCUUUUCAUCAAAACCUUGAAAAUCUUUGUAUCUUGCUAUUAGUUUUUAUAAAACCAUUGUUAAAAUGCAUGUACACAUGUUAUUCUUGUUGCUAAACUUGUGUGCAAAAUUUGUGAUCAGAAAAUUCAUCGGAGUUCAUCAGGUGCUUCAAGUUAUUCUUGUUGGUUCUUCAUAAGUCUCUAUGUUUGAUCUUUGUUAUGAAUUAUUGUUGUUGAAUAUAAUACACUUGUUUGACAUUUGUGUACAUUUGCAUCAUGAUAGUUAUCUGA
RNAcentral lists this long non-coding RNA (640 nucleotides) under Helianthus annuus (common sunflower). RNAcentral describes it as "hypothetical non coding rna". The record is from RNAcentral. Lineage: Eukaryota; Viridiplantae; Streptophyta; Magnoliopsida; Asterales; Asteraceae.